Molecule: ribosomal RNA, 450 nt
Filed under: uncultured bacterium
Lineage: Bacteria
Description: bacterial SSU rRNA
Rfam family: Bacterial small subunit ribosomal RNA
Source: RNAcentral
GACCCAGACUCCUACGGGAGGCAGCAGUGGGGAAUAUUGCACAGUGGGGGAAACCCUGAUGCAGCGACGCCGCGUGAGCGAUGAAGUAUUUCGGUAUGUAAAGCUCUAUCAGCAGGGAAGAAGAUGACGGUACCUGUCGAAUAAGCCACGGCUAACUACGUGCCAGCAGCCGCGGUAAUACGUAGGUGGCAAGCGUUGUCCGGAUUUACUGGGUGUAAAGGGCGUGUAGCCGGGCUGACAAGUCAGAUGUGAAAUCCGGGGGCUCAACCCCCGAACUGCAUUUGAAACUGUUGGUCUUGAGUAUCGGAGAGGCAGGCGGAAUUCCUAGUGUAGCGGUGAAAUGCGUAGAUAUUAGGAGGAACACCAGUGGCGAAGGCGGCCUGCUGGACGACAACUGACGGUGAGGCGCGAAAGCGUGGGGAGCAAACAGGAUUAGAUACCCGCGUAACA